GCUCGAAUGGUGGAAUAGGUAGACACGGCGGUCUCAAACACCGCUCCGAAAGGGUAUGGGUUCGAGUCCCAUUUUGAGUA
RNAcentral lists this transfer RNA (80 nucleotides) under Caudoviricetes sp. RNAcentral's name for it is "tRNA-Leu". It matches the Rfam family "tRNA". Rfam says of the family: Transfer RNA (tRNA) molecules are approximately 80 nucleotides in length. Their secondary structure includes four short double-helical elements and three loops (D, anti-codon, and T loops). Further hydrogen bonds mediate the characteristic L-shaped molecular structure. tRNAs have two regions of fundamental functional importance: the anti-codon, which is responsible for specific mRNA codon recognition, and the 3' end, to which the tRNAs corresponding amino acid is attached (by aminoacyl-tRNA synthetases). tRNAs cope with the degeneracy of the genetic code in two manners: having more than one tRNA (with a specific anti-codon) for a particular amino acid; and 'wobble' base-pairing, i.e. permitting non-standard base-pairing at the 3rd anti-codon position. Lineage: Duplodnaviria; Heunggongvirae; Uroviricota; Caudoviricetes. The record is from RNAcentral.